Molecule: ribosomal RNA, 253 nt
Filed under: uncultured bacterium
Lineage: Bacteria
Description: partial 16S ribosomal RNA
Rfam family: Bacterial small subunit ribosomal RNA
Source: RNAcentral
UACGUAGGGUGCGAGCGUUAAUCGGAAUUACUGGGCGUAAAGCGUGCGCAGGCGGCGCGUUAAGACAGGUGUGAAAGCCCCGAGCUUAACUUGGGAAUUGCGCUUGUGACUGGCGAGCUGGAGUGUGGCAGAGGGAGGUGGAAUUCCACGUGUAGCAGUGAAAUGCGUAGAGAUCGGGAAGAACACCCGUGGCGAAGGCGGCUCACUGGGCUGACCUUGACGCUGAGGCGCGAAGGCGUGGAGAGCGAACGGG